RNAcentral lists this transfer RNA (76 nucleotides) under Escherichia coli. Its description in RNAcentral is "tRNA-Lys". It matches the Rfam family "tRNA". Rfam says of the family: Transfer RNA (tRNA) molecules are approximately 80 nucleotides in length. Their secondary structure includes four short double-helical elements and three loops (D, anti-codon, and T loops). Lineage: Bacteria; Pseudomonadati; Pseudomonadota; Gammaproteobacteria; Enterobacterales; Enterobacteriaceae. The record is from RNAcentral. RNAcentral also lists the same sequence under 2 other names.
GUAUCGUUAGCUCAGUUGGUAGAGCAGUUGACUUUUAAUCAAUUGGUCGCAGGUUCGAAUCCUGCACGACCCACCA